AACGCACGCUCCAGCUCUUCCUAGGCACAGCGGGGCAACCUGGGAAAGAAACGAGAGACACAGGUGUCGGGAGUGGAGGAAGAUGGACCAUCUGAGUGUCCAGUGUGGAAGCCCCACAGGUGUGUGAGACAUGUCAAUGUCGGAUAAAGUCAGGAGGGUUUUAUCAGAAGAGUGGUUUUCACAACCCAAGAGAAGUGAGAUAAUGAAAAGGGAAGCGGCAUACCUGAGUCCAUUCGUUCGUCUGGGGAUCGUAAGCCUCCACUAUGUUCAGGAAUUACCUCUCUACACAGUCGGAAAGUCUGGAAGUCAAGUUGGAUGUGGGAGCAUCGUGUCCUCCGAUCGCAUACAGCAGUCCGUUCCAGGUUGUCACGCCUACGCCGCCUCUCCUUUUCGACAUCUGGGCAC
This is a long non-coding RNA of Chionomys nivalis (European snow vole), 405 nucleotides long. RefSeq lists it as uncharacterized. The record is from RefSeq and is a predicted model, not a curated record. The transcript has 3 exons. NCBI's taxonomy places the organism in Eukaryota, Metazoa, Chordata, Mammalia, Rodentia, Cricetidae.